Molecule: non-coding RNA, 83 nt
Organism: Tritrichomonas musculus
Lineage: Eukaryota; Parabasalia; Tritrichomonadida; Tritrichomonadidae
Source: the annotation of a GenBank genome assembly
GACAGCUUGGCAGAGUUGGUUAAUGCGGGAGACUUGAAAUCUCUUGGGCUUGUCCCGUGUGGGUUCGAAUCCCAUGGUUGUCG